RNAcentral lists this ribosomal RNA (486 nucleotides) under uncultured bacterium. RNAcentral describes it as "partial 16S ribosomal RNA". It matches the Rfam family "Bacterial small subunit ribosomal RNA", at positions 28 to 507 of the family's 1533-position model. The record is from RNAcentral.
GAUGAACGCUGGCGGCGUGCCUAAUACAUGCAAGUCAAACGCUGGAAAUCUAGCUUGCUAGAUUGAAGGAGUGGCGAACGGGUGAGUAAUACAUAAGCAACCUACCCACGAAGACUGGGAUAAUCUCUGGAAACGGGGACUAAUACCGGAUAGGUAAUCGGAAGGCAUCUUCUGAUUAUUAAAGGUUAAAAACACUGGUGGAUGGGCUUAUGGCGCAUUAGUUAGUUGGUGAGGUAACGGCCCACCAAGACGAUGAUGCGUAGCCGGCCUGAGAGGGUGAACGGCCACAUUGGGACUGAGACACGGCCCAGACUCCUACGGGAGGCAGCAGUAGGGAAUUUUCGGCAAUGGGGGAAACCCUGACCGAGCAACGCCGCGUGAGUGAUGACGGCCUUCGGGUCGUAAAGCUCUGUUGUAAGGGAAGAACGGUAGAUAGAGAAUAUCUAAAUGACGGUACCUUACCAGAAAGCCACGGCUAACUACGUG